UGGAAAAUAUGAUUUAACUCAGCUUUUCUUGAACAUUUAUUUUCAUAUUGCAGCUAUUCAAGAUUUCUUUCCACUGAAGAUAUGGAUUUGCUUUUCUCAGUUUAUCCUGUCCUAACUCUAAUGCUGAGAAUCUGAGAGAAAAGAUAUAUCCUUGAAUUUACACCUCAUCCUUAAAUUCUGUACUUGAAGCAUCAGCCUAAAUUAUGAACUCAAGUUUCACCCUCAAUAAAUAAUCAUUCUCUACUGAACCUGAACAUUGCAUAUAAGGCACUGGAGGCAAAUACAGGCACAGGGGCAGGCGCUGGCAGCGAGCCUUGGAACAGCACGUGGGUUACAAGCCCCAGAAUGCCGCAAGCUGCGAACCCUGGAGCAGCUGAAUGUCAGUGCAAAGCAGUCUGGGGCUUGGAGUGGAGCGGGAACGGCAAUUGAACUGGGGUAUGGCUCAGGCGGUCAAACCACAUGCGUGGUCCUGCGCUGAACUGCUACACUGUAAUGUUUAUUUAAAAUUCCUACCUUACUGUAAUGUCAUUCCUUUAACGUUAUCCUAUUUUUAACUUAUUUUUCAACUCUGUAAGUAAUACAACUACUUUUAUUCCUCUGCUGUAUCCAAGAAUUGUACCUCUGUACGUGUACCUAAGAUGUCACCAUAAGAUGGCAGACAUUGUAAAAGCUUUUCAUUGUAUUCCUACAGUGGAGUACAUAUGACAAAAAAAUGAUAUUGUAUUGU
This is a non-coding RNA of Chiloscyllium plagiosum (whitespotted bambooshark), 727 nucleotides long. The record is from RefSeq and is a predicted model, not a curated record. NCBI's taxonomy places the organism in Eukaryota, Metazoa, Chordata, Chondrichthyes, Orectolobiformes, Hemiscylliidae.